CCUACGGGUGGCAGCAGUGAGGAAUAUUGGUCAAUGGACGAGAGUCUGAACCAGCCAAGUAGCGUGAAGGAUGACUGCCCUAUGGGUUGUAAACUUCUUUUAUAUGGGAAUAAAACGUUCCACGUGUGGGAUUUUGUAUGUACCAUAUGAAUAAGGAUCGGCUAACUCCGUGCCAGCAGCCGCGGUAAUACGGAGGAUCCGAGCGUUUUCCGGAUUUAUUGGGUUUAAAGGGAGCGUAGGUGGAUUGUUAAGUCAGUUGUGAAAGUUUGCGGCUCAACCGUAAAAUUGCAGUUGAAACUGGCAGUCUUGAGUACAGUAGAGGUGGGCGGAAUGCGUGGUGUAGCGGUGAAAUGCUUAGAUAUCACGAAGAACUCCGAUUGCGAAGGCAGUUCACUGGACUGCAACUGACACUGAGGCUCGAAAGUGUGGGUAUCAAACAGGAUUAGAUACCCUUGUAGUC
RNAcentral lists this ribosomal RNA (460 nucleotides) under uncultured bacterium. RNAcentral's name for it is "partial 16S ribosomal RNA". It matches the Rfam family "Bacterial small subunit ribosomal RNA", at positions 338 to 795 of the family's 1533-position model. The record is from RNAcentral.